UUUGCGACUGGAGAAUUAGUUUUUACUGAUGAUUCAUGCGGAAGGCCUUGUCUGAAUUAUUGUAGGUGGAAGGCCUUGUCCGAGUUAUUGUUCCUUGGUAACGAUCGAAGAAAUUAUUUGAUUGCUAAGAUAUGACUGACCAAAAAUACGCUUUAUAAAGGAGAAAUUUUUGGCUGGAACGGUUGCAAUGAUUUUUGGCUUUCUAUCCUUAGAUGAAUCAAGUGGCUCGUGAAUUGGCUUGAUUCGACUCGAAUGAAGGCUCAUCAAGAGCUCGGCUCGACUUGAUUUGUGAAGGGAUUGUGAGCUAAGUUCGAUCACUGCUUGGCUUGAUUUGUGAAGGGAUUGUGAGCUAAGUUCGAUCACUGCUUGGCUUGAUUUGUGAAGGGGUUAUGAGCUAAGUUUGAUCACUGCUUGGCUUGGCUCGAUGGUUCACAAGUCGAAUUUGGCUCGAGUUAGAAAGAGUUAUAGUGAGGGUUUUUUAAACUAUUGGGGGCUACAAAAAAUUUGCAGUUAUUAAGCAUAAUAGUUUUAAAAUGACAAAUUCCCCACCUUGUAAAACUUGGUAAAACAUGAUAAUUUACCCAUUUGAACAAAAUCCCUAAAUUGAAACAAUCCCGCCCAAAAUUGACAAAUCCCAAUCAACUUGCAUGCUGUCCACUGUUAUUGCUGACAACGUCACCUAUUACAACCAUUCUCUUUGUCGCUAUCGUUUCGCCAUUUUCGUUAGCCUCCAAGUUCUCUUCGUCACUGUCUACUUCUCCUCUUGCUGUCGACGAGCCCGUUGUCCUCUCGUCCUUCUCACUGCCAGUAACUCAAUAAGGUUUGGAAAUGGACGACAGUAUCUCAAGUAGCCAUACAGAGCAAGAUACAAUUACAAUUACAAUUACACCAGGCAAUAAGCGUACCUUGAAUGAGACCACUACAAAUACGGAACACAGUGUUAGUAGCCCAGAUAAUGGUGGGCAGAAUGACAAUCCAAUUCAAAGGAAAAAGAGAGCUAAAACAUCAGUGGUUUAUACAAAGUUUAAGGAGGUGGUUCUCUCAGGGGGUACAAAAAAGGCAGAGUGUAUCCAUUGCAAAGCCAAGCUGUUUAUUAAUGCCACCAGAAGCACCACCCAGUUUUUAAUAGAUAUUUAAAAUGGUGUUCAAAGAGAAUAGCUUUCAUGAGGCAACAACACAUUACUUUUCCCUUGUCGGUUUCGAUGCUGGAACUUUUGUUUUACCUACUUUAAGUGAAAAGUUCGACAUGAUGAAGAUGAGGGAACUUAUCGCCCAUUGGGUGCUUAUGCACGAGCAUCCAUUUUUAGUUGUGGAGGAAGAGAGCUUGAACAAUAUGAUAAAGUAUGAGAUUCUUGAAUGGAGUCCGGUUUCUCGCCAUACCCGCAAAAAUGAUUGUAUGAAGGUCUAUGAGAGUGAGAAAGUGAAGUUAAAGACGUUGAAGAAUGUGACAAAGAUUAGUGGGCCUUCCCCAAGCUGUAUUCUGAGUUAGAAGCUCGUGCAAAUACUGUAACUGUUCGGGAUGCACUGUAUGAGCUAUAUGGAGAGUAUGUUGAAGCUAAUAAAGCUUCUACUAUUUCCCGUGGGCCUCCAGUAGUAGGGGAUGAAGUUGGAGCUAUUGGUGAGGAGGCAAUGGUUGCAGGAGCCACGAGUUGGGAUGAUUUUAGCAAUUUUUUGGAUGCGGUGGAGACUGUUGAGCCAAGUAAGUCUGAGCUAGACCGUUAUUUGGGAUAGGGGUGUCAUAUAUGCAUGGGGGGGAUUGUGAGGCAUUCAAUGCUUUACAAUGGUGGAAGACAAAUUCAACCAAGUACCUUAUAUUGUCUACGAUGGCUCAUGAGAUACUAGCCAUCCUAAUCACUACGGUUGCUUUAGAGUUUGCAUUCAGUGUUGGGAGUAGGGUUGUUAACAGUUAUCGAGCUUCUUUGUCUCUCGACACGGUGGAAAUGCUCUUAUGUGGAUGUGAUUGGUGUCGAUCUUUGAACAGAGUGAAGAAAAGGUGCAAAAAAGAGUAGGACCUCUUGGAGAUUGUUCUUCCUAUCAUGUCAAUUGACGGGAAUCAGUAGAUUGUUUGAUUCCCCUGCAUGUCAUUGGUUGUGGCAGCAGGAUUGUGCAAGUUUGACUUAAUUGAUUUUUUUGUUUGGGUUCGCAUAUUCAUCUUUAUUUACUUAUGUUCUUAAUUGAUUUUUUGUUUGCAAGAGUGGGGCGAGAAUGGUUUUGGGAUGUAGCUACCCAACAUACACCAUUUUUUUUUUUUUUUUAUGAAACAUUAUAUUUUGAUGUUUUGGGAUUAAAUUUGUAUAUAGUCCCCUUUUUGUUUUGAUUAAAGAUGAAUUAAAUAAAGUGAACCAAACAAAAAAUUUAGUUCACUUCACUUAAUUUGUUGAAACAAAACCAAUAUGGUAAAUGGUAAAUAGUAUGAUGAAAUGAUCACAUGUGGAGAUUGAGUUGUUUGCCAAAUACGUGCGGGUUUACUUGUGUUUGUCAAAUAGUUUGUGACAUUGAA
Molecule: long non-coding RNA, 2500 nt
Organism: Pistacia vera
Lineage: Eukaryota; Viridiplantae; Streptophyta; Magnoliopsida; Sapindales; Anacardiaceae
Exons: 4
Source: RefSeq, a predicted model, not a curated record